Molecule: long non-coding RNA, 507 nt
Filed under: Fukomys damarensis (Damara mole-rat)
Lineage: Eukaryota; Metazoa; Chordata; Mammalia; Rodentia; Bathyergidae
Description: lncRNA (ENSFDAG00000028556.1)
Source: RNAcentral
GAUCUUAGGAGGACAAAGAGGAGUGAAUCUUGACGUGGAUUUUGCUUUUCUAGCAGUGAUAUUUUGGACCUGUACCUGAGAGAAGUGAAAGAUUCACGUGAAGGUGUGGAGUGAGAACUAGACCUGAAGGUGAAGGAUGACAGCAUCUGGUGAUAAACUACAUGUGGAAGCCACUGGUUACAGGUGGGAAGAGACCCCAACCUCACGAGAGAGAAUUAAUUGCUUAUGGAGACUUUUGUGGAUACCCAUAGAAGAAUAAAAAGAAAGAGGAAGUGAAAGAGAAGGAGAAGAAGAAAACUGUCCUGGGGAAAGUUGAUUGUUUUCUUUUUUAAAAAGAGUUAAAUGUACAAAUUUAUGGGCCACACUGCUAUAAUUUGAAACAUGUAUACAGUGUGUAACAAUCAAAUUAAAGUAGUUAACAUCUCCCUCUACUCAAAUAUUAAAAAAAUUGAUUAACCAUAGUAAUUAUACAUAUUUAUGGAGUACAGUGUGAUACUUCAACAGCAC